RNAcentral lists this non-coding RNA (44 nucleotides) under Trametes versicolor. RNAcentral also lists the same sequence under 39 other names. Lineage: Eukaryota; Fungi; Basidiomycota; Agaricomycetes; Polyporales; Polyporaceae. The record is from RNAcentral.
CUGACCUCAAAUCAGGUAGGACUACCCGCUGAACUUAAGCAUAU